This 800-nucleotide ribosomal RNA is filed under the name Sutcliffiella horikoshii. RNAcentral describes it as "bacterial SSU rRNA". It matches the Rfam family "Bacterial small subunit ribosomal RNA", at positions 29 to 815 of the family's 1533-position model. Lineage: Bacteria; Bacillati; Bacillota; Bacilli; Caryophanales; Bacillaceae. The record is from RNAcentral.
AUGUAUGGCUGGCUGUCCUCAUAGUGAGGUCGAGUGGACCUUUAAAAGCUUGCUUUUGAAAGGUCAGCGGCGGACGGGUGAGUAACACGUGGGCAACCUGCCUGUAAGACUGGGAUAACUUCGGGAAACCGGAGCUAAUACCGGAUAAUAUAAGGAACCUCCUGGUUCUUUAUUGAAAGAUGGUUUCGGCUAUCACUUACAGAUGGGCCCGCGGCGCAUUAGCUAGUUGGUGAGGUAACGGCUCACCAAGGCGACGAUGCGUAGCCGACCUGAGAGGGUGAUCGGCCACACUGGGACUGAGACACGGCCCAGACUCCUACGGGAGGCAGCAGUAGGGAAUCUUCCACAAUGGACGAAAGUCUGAUGGAGCAACGCCGCGUGAGCGAUGAAGGCCUUCGGGUCGUAAAGCUCUGUUGUUAGGGAAGAACAAGUGCGAGAGUAACUGCUCGCACCUUGACGGUACCUAACCAGAAAGCCACGGCUAACUACGUGCCAGCAGCCGCGGUAAUACGUAGGUGGCAAGCGUUGUCCGGAAUUAUUGGGCGUAAAGCGCGCGCAGGUGGUUCUUUAAGUCUGAUGUGAAAGCCCACGGCUCAACCGUGGAGGGUCAUUGGAAACUGGGGGACUUGAGUGCAGAAGAGGAAAGUGGAAUUCCAAGUGUAGCGGUGAAAUGCGUAGAGAUUUGGAGGAACACCAGUGGCGAAGGCGACUUUCUGGUCUGUAACUGACACUGAGGCGCGAAAGCGUGGGGAGCAAACAGGAUUAGAUACCCUGGUAGUCCACGCCGUAAACGAUGAGUG